Molecule: ribosomal RNA, 519 nt
Filed under: uncultured eukaryote
Lineage: Eukaryota
Description: SSU rRNA
Rfam family: Eukaryotic small subunit ribosomal RNA
Source: RNAcentral
AGGGCACCACCAGGAGUGGAGCCUGCGGCUUAAUUUGACUCAACACGGGAAAACUCACCCGGCCCGGACACCGUAAGGAUUGACAGACUGAGAGCUCUUUCUUAAUUCGGUGGGUGGUGGUGCAUGGCCGUUCUUAGUUGGUGGAGCGAUUUGUCUGGUUAAUUCCGAUAACGAACGAGACUCUGGCCUAUUAAAUAGACGAUAUAUUUAAAAGUAUAUCGCGCUUCUUAAAGGGACAAGCGGCGUCUAGCCCCAUGAAAUAUAGCAAUAACAGGUCUGUGAUGCCCUUAGAUGUCCGGGGCUGCACGCGCGCUACACUGAAAGAAUCAGUGUGCGUUCUACCUAGUUCGGAAGAACCGGGUAACCCAAGUAAAUUCUUUCGUGCUUGGGAUAGGGAAUUGCAAUUAUUUCCCUUAAACGAGGAAUUCCCAGUAAAUGCGGGUCAUAAGCUCGCGUUGAUUACGUCCCUGCCCUUUGUACACACCGCCCGUCGCUACUACCGAUUGGAUGACUUAGUGA